This 115-nucleotide ribosomal RNA is filed under the name Erinaceus europaeus (western European hedgehog). Lineage: Eukaryota; Metazoa; Chordata; Mammalia; Eulipotyphla; Erinaceidae. The record is from RNAcentral.
GUCUACGGCCAUACCACCCUGAACACACCCGAUCUUGUCUGAUCUCGGAAGCUAAGCAGGGUCGGGCCUGGUUAGUACUUGGAUGGGAGAAGGAGUGGGCAGAGUGACACAGAAG